Molecule: long non-coding RNA, 296 nt
Filed under: Physcomitrium patens
Lineage: Eukaryota; Viridiplantae; Streptophyta; Bryopsida; Funariales; Funariaceae
Description: long non-coding RNA (PPAT_LNC003703)
Source: RNAcentral
GACUGAAAACUUCUAUACAUCAUCAAUUUUUCACAACAAUUGAUAAACAGUGAUCCAUAAAUAACUUUGUAAAUCAAACAUUGAUUCAUUAAAUCGAUUCUCUUCACUAGAAUCAACACUAACACAAAAGAAACAAGAAAACUAAGAAGAAGAGAUAGCAUCAAGCUUAUCCCGACUCAUGACUAUCAUAUUUUGGUAUUUUCUUCCUUUCUCCCAUCCUCCUUAUACUACCCCGAGAUACCAACUCCUAUACUAUGGAUGAUAACUACUUUUCUUGACUAUUCAUCCAUUCUACU